RNAcentral lists this non-coding RNA (102 nucleotides) under Clostridium botulinum. Its description in RNAcentral is "Glycine sequence". It matches the Rfam family "Glycine riboswitch aptamer". Rfam says of the family: This family represents the bacterial glycine riboswitch. Glycine riboswitches usually consist of two metabolite-binding aptamers domains with similar structures in tandem. Lineage: Bacteria; Bacillati; Bacillota; Clostridia; Eubacteriales; Clostridiaceae. The record is from RNAcentral.
GGACGAGCCUCUGGAGAGAUCCAUUAGUGGACACCGAAGGAGAAAAAUAGUUAUUAAAUUAUAACUAUUGAAACUCUCAGGUAAAAGGACAGAGGAUAGGAU